AUGGCUCUGCCCUUUUUACAGGUUGCAGAAAGCACCCGUUACAGUUCUUUUAAUUUAUCAGAGAAAAAAACGAGAUGCCCUCAUGUGCCCCUUCCCUCUCACAGUAAUAAUCAGAACCAGUCUAUUUUCCAAGGGUCCGAGACUUAUUUUCAAAAAAAUGUAUAUCAAUAGAUGUAACAGCGAGAAGAUUAUUUUGCCAAGUUCCAACCCCCAGCACAAGGAAGGUGCCCUGGCUGAGGAGAGCAUUUAUAAAACCACAUUUAAUAAAAGAGAGUGUUAUAUUAAGUAUGUUUGCUAGUGUAUUUAAGCAUAUGGUUUCCAUAUCAGGCAGAAAGAUGGCAAACACAUGCUUUUACCUUCCUGCUAACCUUUCCUGGUAACGUCCAUUUCUGGUGGGUUGGUAGAAUAGUGGGAUUUGGGGGUGGGGGUGAGUAUGUUGUUUUGUUUUGCUUUUUUUUUUUUUUACAACCCUAGUUCACGUGGAAAAGCCCAGAAGAACAUCCAGCCAACACGUGGAGACUGCUUUUUCUACUUAUGUAAUUAGCCCAGGAAGCUUGCUCUGCUAACUUUCUGCAACAGUCCCAGCAUUCUUCCUGGCUCCCUGGCCCUCUCCAAGGCACGAGGGUCUGGCCAACUUGAAAGUGUGAAUCAAGUUCAGCUGCAAAGAACUGAGCUCCUGGAUUUUAAGUGUGAGCGCUUGGGUUGAAGACAUUGAGCGCCCAAGGAAGGAAGCAACUUGUGCAUUCCCAGCUGUUCCUUGUGUGUGCUUGACCCUGGCAAUGAAGAAGGAAAAGUAGAUCAGUCUCCUGUGGCUCUGAGAGCCAGAGGCAUUUCUCUGCCAUACAAAAUGUCUGCUUUACCCCCAGCCCUUCUCCAGCCUUCUAGCUCCCAUGAAAAGAACUCAGGACCCCUCACCCAGAGAGAACCAUGAUACAGGCCAGGGAAGCCAGCAUGGUUUUCUGCCUGAAUACCCUCCUCUCCUGGCUGCCGGUGGAUGACUGGACCCCAGCAGCUCCUAAGACAAGAGUCAGUGCCCGCCUGGCAUGGAAGGUCCUGACAGAUUGCCAAGCUGGAGGUGCUUGAAGAAGUUCAAGUUACACACACUAGGGCUUGUUGAGUCCCCAGACCUGGCCUGAGACUCUGAAUUUCUAACAAGCCUCUCGUGAAGAUGGAUUUUUGCUGGCCUGGAGACCACAGUGAGAGUACCAAAGGGGUGUCUUGCUGUGGCCAGAACUCCUGCCCAACUUCUAAAGCUACAAAUGGUUCCGUGGAGCCACUCAUCUGGACACCUAAGAGGCAAACAAGUCUACUUCUAAUUGUUACGGAUGCGCCCUCCUUGGGAGGCUCUGCCAGCCUUCACAGUUGCCUUGGGACUCUAGCCAGCCUCCCGUUGCCUCACGAGUGUGACCUUGGCUCUCUACCCCUCCACCCCCGUGUGAAUCUGUUGCCCAGUAACACAGAAAGAAGAAACACAGGAACAGAGCUCUCACUACAGAUACUGUAGUGAGCAGGGCCAUGCUUUUGCAAGGCAGGAAAUGCUAAAGGGUGCUAGCUACACCCCAGAAGCUGGAAGGACAGGUUGGGUCCCAUUCUGCCCUCAGGAAAGAGGGGGAGGCAGAGGGGCUCAGAAGCAGGCAGCUCUGCCCACCUUCGCUUCAAACUUCAUCCUCCAGAACU
Long non-coding RNA from Dipodomys spectabilis (banner-tailed kangaroo rat), 1677 nucleotides. RefSeq lists it as uncharacterized. The record is from RefSeq and is a predicted model, not a curated record. The transcript has 4 exons. NCBI's taxonomy places the organism in Eukaryota, Metazoa, Chordata, Mammalia, Rodentia, Heteromyidae.